UACGUAGGCAGCGAGCGUUGUUCGGAGUUACUGGGCGUAAAGGGUGUGUAGGCGGUUCUUUAAGUUUGGUGUGAAAUCUCCCGGCUCAACCGGGAGGGUGCGCCGAAAACUGGGGGACUAGAGUGCGGGAUGGGAGAGUAGAAUUCCUGGUGUAGCGGUGAAAUGCGCAGAUAUCAGGAGGAACACCAGUGGCGAAGGCGGUGCUCUGGGCCGGUACUGACGCUGAGGAGCGAAAGCGUGGGUAGCAAACAGG
Molecule: ribosomal RNA, 253 nt
Filed under: uncultured bacterium
Lineage: Bacteria
Description: partial 16S ribosomal RNA
Rfam family: Bacterial small subunit ribosomal RNA
Source: RNAcentral